This 497-nucleotide ribosomal RNA is filed under the name uncultured bacterium. Its description in RNAcentral is "partial 16S ribosomal RNA". It matches the Rfam family "Bacterial small subunit ribosomal RNA", at positions 29 to 507 of the family's 1533-position model. The record is from RNAcentral.
UAUGAACGCUGGCGGCGUGCCUAAUACAUGCAAGUCGAGCGAACAGACGAGGAGCUUGCUCCUCUGACGUUAGCGGCGGACGGGUGAGUAACACGUGGAUAACCUACCUAUAAGACUGGGAUAACUUCGGGAAACCGGAGCUAAUACCGGAUAAUAUAUUGAACCGCAUGGUUCAAUAGUGAAAGACGGUUUUGCUGUCACUUAUAGAUGGAUCCGCGCCGCAUUAGCUAGUUGGUAAGGUAACGGCUUACCAAGGCAACGAUGCGUAGCCGACCUGAGAGGGUGAUCGGCCACACUGGAACUGAGACACGGUCCAGACUCCUACGGGAGGCAGCAGUAGGGAAUCUUCCGCAAUGGGCGAAAGCCUGACGGAGCAACGCCGCGUGAGUGAUGAAGGUCUUCGGAUCGUAAAACUCUGUUAUUAGGGAAGAACAAAUGUGUAAGUAACUAUGCACGUCUUGACGGUACCUAAUCAGAAAGCCACGGCUAACUACGUG